RNAcentral lists this ribosomal RNA (478 nucleotides) under uncultured bacterium. Its description in RNAcentral is "partial 16S ribosomal RNA". It matches the Rfam family "Bacterial small subunit ribosomal RNA", at positions 28 to 523 of the family's 1533-position model. The record is from RNAcentral.
GACGAACGCUGGCGGCGUGCUUAACACAUGCAAGUCGAACGGUAAGGCCCUUCGGGGUACACGAGUGGCGAACGGGUGAGUAACACGUGGGUGAUCUGCCCUGCACUUCGGGAUAAGCCUGGGAAACUGGGUCUAAUACCGGAUAGGACCACUGCCUGCAUGGGUGGUGGUGGAAAGCUUUUGCGGUGUGGGAUGGGCCCGCGGCCUUUCAGCAUGUUGGUGGGGUGAUGGCCUACCAAGGCGACGACGGGUAGCCGGCCUGAGAGGGUGACCGGCCACACUGGGACUGAGAUACGGCCCCGACUCCUACGGGAGGCAGCAGUGGGGAAGAUUGCACAAUGGGCGCAAGCCUGAUGCAGCGACGCCGCGUGAGGGAUGACGGCCUUCGGGUUGUAAACCUCUUUCAGCACCGACGAAGCGCAAGUGACGGUAGGUGCAGAAGAAGGACCGGCCAACUACGUGCCAGCAGCCGCAGUAA